Molecule: microRNA precursor, 107 nt
Organism: Pteropus vampyrus (large flying fox)
Lineage: Eukaryota; Metazoa; Chordata; Mammalia; Chiroptera; Pteropodidae
Gene: MIR767
Product: microRNA 767
Source: Ensembl
GCUUUUGUACUGUAAGCUUUCGCUCAUGCACCACGGUCGUCUGAGCAUGCGUGUUUCUCUGCUCAUACCCAAUGGUUCUUGAGCAGGAAACCUCAUUGCCCGCUGCU